RNAcentral lists this ribosomal RNA (253 nucleotides) under uncultured bacterium. RNAcentral describes it as "partial 16S ribosomal RNA". It matches the Rfam family "Bacterial small subunit ribosomal RNA", at positions 524 to 776 of the family's 1533-position model. The record is from RNAcentral.
UACGGAGGGAGCUAGCGUUAUUCGGAAUUACUGGGCGUAAAGCGCACGUAGGCGGUUCGUUAAGUCGGAUGUGAAAGCCCUCGGCUCAACUGAGGAAGUGCACCCGAAACUGGCGAGCUUGAGUACGAAAGAGGAUCGCGGAAUUCCCGGUGUAGAGGUGAAAUUCGUAGAUAUCGGGAGGAACACCGGUGGCGAAGGCGGCGAUCUGGGUCGAUACUGACGCUGAGGUGCGAAAGCGUGGGGAGCAAACAGG